RNAcentral lists this long non-coding RNA (576 nucleotides) under Pan troglodytes (chimpanzee). Its description in RNAcentral is "long non-coding RNA NONPTRT016190". Lineage: Eukaryota; Metazoa; Chordata; Mammalia; Primates; Hominidae. The record is from RNAcentral.
GCACACUGCAACCUUCGCCUCCCAGGUUCAAGCGAUUCUCCUGCCUCAGCUCUUGGACAAAACUUCAGCACUCCUGCUAGGGUGUGUCUGCCCUACUAAGACACUGUGCGCAGGUGGAGUUGAGGCUCUUAUGUAUGGAUCCUGUCCACUGUUGAGAUUGUGAAUUGCAUGUGUAGACUCAACUCACAGGAGGUGUUGACUCACAAACCUCCAGCUGGGACAUGUGCAGGAUUAGAAAUUUUAUUUCUGGAUCUUUCUUCAGAAGGCGUUGUAACAUCUCACUAAGCCCAGCACUCAGGCGAUGUGGCUUUCCUGCUAUGGCACUGCACACAAGAAGAAUGUUGACAUAUUCCUGGCCCAGAAUUCAGGUUGUAUUGUGCCAUAUAUCUGGGACCAAAUUACAAGCACAAUGAUGAAUCUUUUACCUGGAGUCAAGACAUGGGCAGGAUGAUGGAACUUAUCACUGGACCUUUCCACAGUGUUAUUGUGACAUAUGCCUUUGCCCAACAUGUGGUGAUUUGACUCUCCAGACUGGGUCCAGUUCACAAAUAAAAUUGUGCCGUAUACUUGGCCAAG